Molecule: ribosomal RNA, 382 nt
Filed under: uncultured bacterium
Lineage: Bacteria
Description: bacterial SSU rRNA
Rfam family: Bacterial small subunit ribosomal RNA
Source: RNAcentral
CUACCUUUACAGAGGGAUAGCCCAGAGAAAUUUGGAUUAAUACCUCAUAGUAUUUUCGGAUCGCAUGAUUUGAUUAUUAAAGUUCCAACGGUAAAAGAUGAGUAUGCGUCCCAUUAGCUAGAUGGUAAGGUAACGGCUUACCAUGGCAAUGAUGGGUAGGGGUCCUGAGAGGGAGAUCCCCCACACUGGUACUGAGACACGGACCAGACUCCUACGGGAGGCAGCAGUGAGGAAUAUUGGACAAUGGGCGCAAGCCUGAUCCAGCCAUGCCGCGUGCAGGAAUAAGGUCCUAUGGAUUGUAAACUGCUUUUAUACAGGAAGAAACACACCCUCGUGAGGGUACUUGACGGUACUGUAUGAAUAAGGACCGGCUAACUCCGUG